AGCGAACGCUGGCGGCAGGCUUAACACAUGCAAGUCGAGCGGGCAUCCUUGUGGUGUCAGCGGCAGACGGGUGAGUAACGCGUGGGAACGUGCCCUUCGGUUCGGAAUAACUCAGGGAAACUUGAGCUAAUACCGGAUACGCCCUUUUGGGGAAAGGUUUACUGCCGAAGGAUCGGCCCGCGUCUGAUUAGCUAGUUGGUGAGGUUAUGGCUCACCAAGGCGACGAUCAGUAGCUGGUCUGAGAGGAUGAUCAGCCACACUGGGACUGAGACACGGCCCAGACUCCUACGGGAGGCAGCAGUGGGGAAUAUUGGACAAUGGGGGCAACCCUGAUCCGGCCAUGCCGCGUGAGUGAUGACGGCCUUAGGGUUGUAAAGCUCUUUUCUCCGGGACGAUAAUGACGGUACCGGAGGAAUAAGCCCCGGCUAACUUCGUG
RNAcentral lists this ribosomal RNA (436 nucleotides) under uncultured bacterium. RNAcentral's name for it is "partial 16S ribosomal RNA". It matches the Rfam family "Bacterial small subunit ribosomal RNA", at positions 29 to 507 of the family's 1533-position model. The record is from RNAcentral.